CCAGCUCCAAUAGCGUAUAUUAAAGUUGCUGCAGUUAAAAAGCUCGUAGUUGGAUUUCUGGACAUGACGAAUUUGGCCGGCCACGGUUUCGUGUGUUAGUGCUUUGUUCGGUGUCCAUCCUUCCAAUGGCCGCGCGUGGCUCUUCACUGAGUGGCGCGCGGUGUUGGAUCUUUUACUUUGAAAAAAUUAGAGUGUUUCAAGCAGGCUUUAUGCUAUGAAUACAUUAGCAUGGAAUAAUGAUUUAGGACUUCGGUUCUAUUUUGUUGGUUUCUAGGACUGAAGUAAUGAUUGAUAGGGACAGUUGGGGGUGCUAGUAUUCAGCGGCCAGAGGUGAAAUUCUCGGAUUCGCUGAAGACUAACUUAUGCGAAAGCAUUCACCAAGGAUGUCUUCU
Molecule: ribosomal RNA, 392 nt
Filed under: uncultured Heteromita
Lineage: Eukaryota; Cercozoa; Cercomonadida; Heteromitidae
Description: SSU rRNA
Rfam family: Eukaryotic small subunit ribosomal RNA
Source: RNAcentral